GACGAACGCUGGCGGCGUGCUUAACACAUGCAAGUCGAACGGAAAGGCCCUGCUUGCAGGGUACUCGAGUGGCGAACGGGUGAGUAACACGUGGGUGAUCUGCCCUGCACUUCGGGAUAAGCCUGGGAAACUGGGUCUAAUACCGGAUAGGAGCCAUUUUUAGUGUGAUGGUUGGAAAGUUUUUUCGGUGUAGGAUGAGCUCGCGGCCUAUCAGCUUGUUGGUGGGGUAAUGGCCUACCAAGGCGGCGACGGGUAGCCGGCCUGAGAGGGUGGACGGCCACAUUGGGACUGAGAUACGGCCCAGACUCCUACGGGAGGCAACAGUGGGGAAUAUUGCACAAUGGGCGCAAGCCUGAUGCAGCGACGCCGCGUGGGGGAGGACGGCCUUCGGGUUGUAAACUCCUUUCGCUAGGGACGAAGCUUUUGUGACGGUACCUAGAUAAGAAGCACCGGCUAACUACGU
This 463-nucleotide ribosomal RNA is filed under the name uncultured bacterium. RNAcentral describes it as "partial 16S ribosomal RNA". It matches the Rfam family "Bacterial small subunit ribosomal RNA", at positions 28 to 506 of the family's 1533-position model. The record is from RNAcentral.